RNAcentral lists this ribosomal RNA (482 nucleotides) under uncultured bacterium. RNAcentral describes it as "partial 16S ribosomal RNA". It matches the Rfam family "Bacterial small subunit ribosomal RNA", at positions 30 to 507 of the family's 1533-position model. The record is from RNAcentral.
AUUGAACGCUGGCGGCAUGCUUUACACAUGCAAGUCGAACGGUAACAGGCCGCAAGGUGCUGACGAGUGGCGAACGGGUGAGUAAUGCAUCGGAACGUGCCCAGUCGUGGGGGAUAACUACUCGAAAGAGUAGCUAAUACCGCAUACGACCUAUGGAUGAAAGCGGGGGACCGUAAGGCCUCGCGCGAUUGGAGCGGCCGAUGUCAGAUUAGGUAGUUGGUGGGGUAAAGGCUCACCAAGCCAACGAUCUGUAGCUGGUCUGAGAGGACGACCAGCCACACUGGGACUGAGACACGGCCCAGACUCCUACGGGAGGCAGCAGUGGGGAAUUUUGGACAAUGGGCGAAAGCCUGAUCCAGCAAUGCCGCGUGCAGGAAGAAGGCCUUCGGGUUGUAAACUGCUUUUGUACGGAACGAAACGGCUCUGGUUAAUACCCGGGGCUAAUGACGGUACCGUAAGAAUAAGCACCGGCUAACUACGUG